AAAACACACAAAAAAAUAUAGGGGUGACCUUGAUCUUGAAGAACAUAUAGUGCAAAAUGGCUAGAAAGUUGAGUUCUUUAGUUGUUUUUGGCUCAAUUUUAUUUGCUUUAUUACAACAUGUUGCUAUGGCACAACAAACUCAUGUUGUUGGUGAUACUUUGGGUUGGACCGUUCCUAAUGGUGGCGCCGCCUCUUAUUCCACAUGGGCCGCCGGGAAAUCCUUUGUCGUUGGUGACAUUCUAGUAUUUAACUUUAGAAGUGGAUCACACAGUGUGGCUGAAGUAUCAAAAGGGGCUUUUGAUUCAUGCAAUACUUCAAGCCCAAUUUCAAUUUCAACAAAUGGCCCAACAAAUAUUACAUUGAGUUCUGCUGGAUCACAUUACUAUCUUUGUACUUUUCCAAGCCAUUGUACAUUGGGCCAGAAAUUGGCUAUCAACGUCUCCGGCUCCGCCUCUCCCGCUCCUCAGCCAUCCCCCGCCACUCCACCCACCGCCACCCCGGUGAUGGCUCCAGCCCCAUCCGUGUCGGUCGCUCCGGCAACGGCACCUUCACCGGCUAGUGUAGCCCAAACUUAUAUUGUUGGAGAUAAUUUGGGCUGGAGUGUUCCUACUAGUGGCCCAAAUUCUUAUCAAAGAUGGGCUAAUAACAAAUCAUUCAAAGUUGGAGAUACUCUUGUUUUCAAUUUUGUGAAUGGGACACAUAAUGUUGCAAUGGUUAGCAAGGCAUCUUAUGACUCAUGUAACACAACUUCUCCAAUAAACACAAUUAGCAAUGGUCCAGCCAGAAUUAGACUCACAAAUUCUGGUGAACAGUUCUAUAUGUGUACAUUCCCUAGACAUUGUUCAUUAGGUCAAAAACUAGCCAUCAAUGUCACCGGUUCGGACGUGACCGCCCCCACGCCUUCCACCGCGGCUACACCAUCCAGCCCCACCGUGCCAUCGAGCGAUUCGCCGGUCAAUUCACCACCAGCACCAAGUGCCUCAGCUCCAUCUUUGGUUCUUGCAACUUUGCCACUCACUUUCUUGUCAUUUGCCUUAGUUAGGUUGUUGAAUUAGAGCGUAAUACUAUAAUAUUUGAUUUUAAGACUUAUGUACCAAUA
Molecule: unclassified non-coding RNA, 1099 nt
Filed under: Hevea brasiliensis (rubber tree)
Lineage: Eukaryota; Viridiplantae; Streptophyta; Magnoliopsida; Malpighiales; Euphorbiaceae
Source: RNAcentral